GUGAGGAAUUUUGCGCAAUGGGGGCAACCCUGACGCAGCGACGCCGCGUGGAGGACGAAGUCUUUCGGGAUGUAAACUCCUGUCAGUGGGGACGAUAAUGACGGUACCCACAGAGGAAGCACCGGCUAACUCCGUGCCAGCAGCCGCGGUAAGACGGAGGGUGCAAGCGGUGUUCGGAAUUACUGGGCGUAAAGCGUAUGUAGGCGGCAGGUUAAGUUCAAUGUUAAAGCCCACGGCUCAACCGAGGAGAUGCAUUGAAUACUGGCUAGCUAGAGGGUGUUAGAGGAAGACGGAAUUCCCAGUGUAGCGGUGAAAUACGUAGAUAUUGGGAGGAACAUCGGUAGCGAAAGCGGUCUUCUGGGACAUACCUGACGCUGAGGUACGAAAGCGUGGGGAGCAAACGGGAUUAGAAACCCCGGUAGUCC
This 425-nucleotide ribosomal RNA is filed under the name uncultured bacterium. Its description in RNAcentral is "partial 16S ribosomal RNA". It matches the Rfam family "Bacterial small subunit ribosomal RNA", at positions 354 to 796 of the family's 1533-position model. The record is from RNAcentral.